UAUUGUUUUAGUUUUUAAAGUAUUCAUGGGGUUUAACGAAUGUCAAGAACACUUUCUUUUGUGGAAUCUGUCCACGUGUAUCAACACUUCGCCGCAAGUUUCGUCCAUUCGCGGGGUCAGCCAAAGUUCAAUCUGUCCACAGUCAAAUUAUUUCCUUAUCUAUCCUACCAAAUGUAAGAUGUUAAUAGUAUACCUAGCCCUACUUAAUGAGUUGUUUCCUUAUCUAUCCUACCAAAUGUAAGAGGUUAAUAUUGUAGCUAGCCCUACUUAAGGUAGAGACCGAUAGCAACCACGUGAUCAGUAAAAAUCGUGUAUUUUCACGUGAAAUUAUUUUUCGGAAUUCCGUACAUCGCCAUAGAGUAGUUGAAAAACAAAAAGGGGUUCCGAAAGUACAAGUUGUUGCUGUGACUGAUGAUUGAGAGGGUCGUCUCAACAAAAGAUAUAGAAAUUUGGCCAUAGUUUAGAUUAGGAAUACGUCAAUGUAAUAAUAGUGGACUAAAUGUUUCGUCCGUGCAGAAUGGCACUUUUUACCUCACGAAAUUCACCACCAUGCAUAGCUGCGCUACGUAAACAAACUUGUUGAUGUAGCGUGAUCGUGAUGUCCGAGUGCUGCGAGUUUCAAUACUGUUUAUGUAGUCAUUGAGAGUUUAAACAAAGUUUCUUCUGAGAAGAGGAAUUCGAUGGAUGCAUUCAACGUGGACAACGAAAUCAUAAUUUCGUUUGCAUCAUCCUAAGGACCAGUGCAAGUUGAAAUGGGCUUCCAGCCAACAACUUCAACAGCAAUUUGCCAUGAAAAUCAGCAAGAAAGGUACUUCAUUUACAUUGAUGAUGUCAUAUCCCCUGGACCCCACAACUUUACAGGUUACAGAGAAAAUUCAAGAACUUCUGCAAAAUGUGGGACUUGGAUAGAGUCAAUAAUGUAUUUGUGAGCCCAGAGCAAUGGAUAUAUUGUGCAACAUACUAAAGUGUGAAUUUAAUGGAAAACAAGUACAUGUACUCAUGUAUUACAUGUCUUUUUUAAAGACAAUAAUAUUGUAUAAAUAUAGAGGAAGUGUCAUUGUUGAUUAUUCUAAGUUUUUGAUAUAUCAAAAUCAGUAAACAUUUCUAAAUGAAAAUAAAAUACCAAUUUUAUAACUUUAA
Long non-coding RNA from Ostrea edulis (European flat oyster), 1140 nucleotides. RefSeq lists it as uncharacterized. Lineage: Eukaryota; Metazoa; Mollusca; Bivalvia; Ostreida; Ostreidae. The record is from RefSeq and is a predicted model, not a curated record. The transcript is spliced from 3 exons.